RNAcentral lists this ribosomal RNA (468 nucleotides) under uncultured bacterium. RNAcentral's name for it is "partial 16S ribosomal RNA". It matches the Rfam family "Bacterial small subunit ribosomal RNA", at positions 28 to 507 of the family's 1533-position model. The record is from RNAcentral.
GACGAACGCUGGCGGCGUGCUUAACACAUGCAAGUCGAACGGAAAGGCCCUGCUUUUGUGGGGUGCUCGAGUGGCGAACGGGUGAGUAACACGUGAGUAACCUGCCCUUGACUUUGGGAUAACUUCAGGAAACUGGGGCUAAUACCGGAUAGGAGCUCCUGCUGCAUGGUGGGGGUUGGAAAGUUUCGGCGGUUGGGGAUGGACUCGCCGCUUAUCAGCUUGUUGGUGGGGUAGUGGCUUACCAAGGCUUAGACGGGUAGCCGGCCUGAGAGGGUGACCGGCCACAUUGGGACUGAGAUACGGCCCAGACUCCUACGGGAGGCAGCAGUGGGGAAUAUUGCACAAUGGGCGGAAGCCUGAUGCAGCAACGCCGCGUGCGGGAUGACGGCCUUCGGGUUGUAAACCGCUUUCGCCUGUGACGAAGCGUGAGUGACGGUAAUGGGUAAAGAAGCACCGGCUAACUACGUG